Molecule: long non-coding RNA, 236 nt
Filed under: Elaeis guineensis (African oil palm)
Lineage: Eukaryota; Viridiplantae; Streptophyta; Magnoliopsida; Arecales; Arecaceae
Description: long non-coding RNA (EGUI_LNC068764)
Source: RNAcentral
UAUACUAAGUUCUUGAAGGAUUUGUGCACCUAGAAAUGCAAAUGUAAAAUACACAUCCCGAAGAAAGUCCGCCUUAUUGAGCAAGCUAGCUUAGUCUUCCAAUAUGCCAUACCACUCAAAUUUAAGGAUCUUGGUGCCUCAAUCAUCUCUUGUGUCAGAGGGGGUCUGAUUGUAAAGAAAGCUUUAUUAGAUCUAGAGGCGAGUGUCAACCUUCUUCCAAGCUUAGUUUAUGAAUU